GACGAACGCUGGCGGCGUGCUUAACACAUGCAAGUCGAACGAAGAGCGACGGAAGCUUGCUUCUAUCAAUCUUAGUGGCGAACGGGUGAGUAACGCGUAAUCAACCUGCCCUUCAGAGGGGGACAACAGUUGGAAACGACUGCUAAUACCGCAUACGAUCUAAUCUCGGCAUCGAGGAUGGAUGAAAGGUGGCCGCUACAUGUAAGCUAUCACUGAAGGAGGGGAUUGCGUCUGAUUAGCUAGUUGGAGGGGUAACGGCCCACCAAGGCGAUGAUCAGUAGCCGGUCUGAGAGGAUGAACGGCCACAUUGGGACUGAGACACGGCCCAGACUCCUACGGGAGGCAGCAGUGGGGAAUCUUCCGCAAUGGACGAAAGUCUGACGGAGCAACGCCGCGUGAGUGAUGACGGCCUUCGGGUUGUAAAGCUCUGUUAAUCGGGACGAAAGGCCUUCUUGCGAAUAGUGAGAAGGAUUGACGGUACCGGAAUAGAAAGCCACGGCUAACUACGUG
Molecule: ribosomal RNA, 510 nt
Filed under: uncultured bacterium
Lineage: Bacteria
Description: partial 16S ribosomal RNA
Rfam family: Bacterial small subunit ribosomal RNA
Source: RNAcentral